This 1340-nucleotide long non-coding RNA is filed under the name Olea europaea subsp. europaea. The record is from RNAcentral. Lineage: Eukaryota; Viridiplantae; Streptophyta; Magnoliopsida; Lamiales; Oleaceae.
CAAUCCACAAUUUCUCCAAACGUUGCAGAAAGUCAAUUACCAAGACUCAAUUGCAUUAAAUAGUUUAUCUCUUUCUUCAAUCCACAAUUUAUCCAUCAUGUCUUGAUCACGGUAAGAUGUGAUUUUUGGUUUUUCAGGUUUUAUUUAUUUAUCUUUAUUUUGGCAAUUGAAAUAAAUUAUAUCUCCAAUUGUAACAAAUAAAUAAAUAAGACCUGAAAAAAAUAAUUGACUUUUGUGCUAAUGUUUCUCAAUUUUUUGGAAUAAUUAACGUUUGGAAACAUAUAUGAUAAAGAUUAUUCUCUUUGCAACAUUUUCAAAGCAUCUAGCUUGUAGUAUACAGUGGAUUUUGUCUCCAUUUCGACACAAAUAUGCCUAAAGGCUAAAGGUCCGUAUUUUUCUCAUUAUUUUGUUUACAUUUAGUAAUUGUUAAUGGUUAACAGUUUGCAUCUUACCCUCUUUCCCUUUCAUAUCAUUUAUCCAAGGAAACUGUUAAAUUGUGGGCUAUAAUUGUAUUUGGCUUUAACACGUCUGAGUUAUACAUUUCCAUCCAUGUUUUUGAUCUCGCUAGUUUUGACGCAAUUUAUUGCUUAGUUUUGUUCCUAUCAAUUAGAGCCCCAUAUCACAUUCUGUUGUUUAAAACGUGUCGUUUUUGUGCAGAUUGUUAUACUAGAAUGGAGUUCUUCUCGAGAGACUUGAAAGAAAAAUCUUCAUCGAGGGCAUUAUUAGCCUUAAUGACUAAACUAAAAUUUCAAGAGAAAGGCUUUAACUCUUUGAACAGCAAGAAAAAAAAUUUCAAGUUGCUCUUCCAGAACACAUCCCAAAGUUGAAGCAGUGAUCAACCAAAGUGUUGUUAUACCAUGCUAGCAGCAAGGUUUUACACUCAAGGUCAGUAGUUAUCUUUAUCUUGCUUGCCAUUUUAGUCUGUCUCAAGCCUUUCUGUUGGGUUAUAAAUGAUGGGGCUGCUAUAGAUGUUUAGUCGACUCAAGCUAGAUAUAUGAUAUACUUCUGAGCAACCUCCUUUUAUCUAGAUAAUGUUUUUGUGGUGGAGUUGAAGUUUGAGAUGUCAAGAUAUUACAUCUUUUUUAUCAACUUACUUAUUUUUCUUUGCUUUUCUUCUCGAUUAUAAUUGGUACAAAUGCCUAAAAUGUGGUAUCCAUCUUUAUCUUCUUUUUUCAUAAGCCAGGACCAAUAAUAAAGGUAUAGCUCGUCGAAAAUUGUUGAGAAGAAAGUUAAUGUGGCUGAUAGGGUGGUUUUACUCACUACUUAGUUUUUUUUUAUUGGAUUUUUAGGUGUGUUAGAAUUUUGGAUCUAAAUUUUGUAUGGAUAUUGUUACAUUUUGG